UACGGAGGGAGCUAGCGUUGUUCGGAAUUACUGGGCGUAAAGCGUACGUAGGCGGUUAUUCAAGUCAGAGGUGAAAGCCCGGGGCUCAACCCCGGAACUGCCUUUGAAACUAGAUGACUAGAAUCUUGGAGAGGUCAGUGGAAUUCCGAGUGUAGAGGUGAAAUUCGUAGAUAUUCGGAAGAACACCAGUGGCGAAGGCGACUGACUGGACAAGUAUUGACGCUGAGGUACGAAAGCGUGGGGAGCAAACAGG
Molecule: ribosomal RNA, 253 nt
Filed under: uncultured bacterium
Lineage: Bacteria
Description: partial 16S ribosomal RNA
Rfam family: Bacterial small subunit ribosomal RNA
Source: RNAcentral